Molecule: non-coding RNA, 202 nt
Organism: Drosophila melanogaster (fruit fly)
Lineage: Eukaryota; Metazoa; Arthropoda; Insecta; Diptera; Drosophilidae
Source: Ensembl
UCGUCCCACAUUCGUGGAAAGUCGCUUGUGGGUGAAGCAUUGUUAUUGCUUGGCCCAAAUGCACGGAGCACAUUAAUCAGCGAAGGAAUCUCAUUCUGGCGGCAACAAAUUAGUUAAAAGCGAACUGCAAAUGUCAAAGCGAGACAGCUGACUUGCCUAAUUAGGAGCCAAGUGAAAUAAAAAUAUUACACAUACGCCAUGU